AACGACAGUCAACCAGCAUUACAUAGAAAAUAUCAGUCCAAAGUUAACACGACAGUCAACCAACAUUACAUAAAAAAUAUCAGUCCAAAGUUAAAUCGACAGUCAACCAACAUUACAUAGAAAAUAUCAGACAACACAAUCGCCCAAACCAAAACCGACAGCCCAAAGCAUUAAAAAUAACAUGAGAAUAUCAGACAACAAUAUGCCAAACGCAAAAACGACAGCCAAAGCACAACAGAUUUAAAUAGGAAAUUUGAGAAAACGAACACCAUUAAACUCCAAGCA
RNAcentral lists this long non-coding RNA (285 nucleotides) under Mytilus galloprovincialis (Mediterranean mussel). Lineage: Eukaryota; Metazoa; Mollusca; Bivalvia; Mytilida; Mytilidae. The record is from RNAcentral.